RNAcentral lists this long non-coding RNA (655 nucleotides) under Medicago truncatula (barrel medic). RNAcentral describes it as "lncRNA gene46238". Lineage: Eukaryota; Viridiplantae; Streptophyta; Magnoliopsida; Fabales; Fabaceae. The record is from RNAcentral.
AAAAUACUGAUAUAACUCUGACCAACUUGGCAGCAUUCUUUCUAAACACAGAACAACUAAAAUCUCUAAGAACUCUUGUGGAGAAUUCAUAGCUUGCAACUUUCCUCUGCUGUCUCCACUUGUCACCAUCAACGGCAAAAAUCCCCUCACCAAAAAGAUCUGUCAUAACAUCUUGACUAUACUUACCUCUAGAAUAUUUAUCAAAAUUGGUUUUCAAUACAUGUUCAAUAUUUCUCACAUCUAUUGUGUACAACUGAUCACUUUGAUUUGGUGCAAGAAGUCUAUAAGUUGGAUGAAUUUUGGCCAUUUGAGCUUGGUAAUCAUAGAGUUUGUUGAAGUAGAAAAGAUGGUUGAACACUGUGCCUUUAACAGGUGCAUAUUUUGGGUCCCCUAUUGAUUUUCCUUUGAAGAUUGUCAUCAAGAUGAAACAUAUGGCUAGGAAAAUUGCUAGAAGAGAGAAGGCUAUGAGAGUCAAAAUGGUGUACAAAACAUCCAUUUUUUUUUUUUGUGUGCUUUUUGUUUAGAGUGUAUGAAUUAUGAUCUUAAACAAAGUUACUUGUAACAAUGCUCCAAGGAAAGUUUGGACCAUCCAUGAUUUAAACAAAAUGAGCUCUAUUAAUUAAACAUUGUUGAAGUAAUUUUUCCACAAGAUGAC